RNAcentral lists this ribosomal RNA (492 nucleotides) under uncultured bacterium. RNAcentral's name for it is "partial 16S ribosomal RNA". It matches the Rfam family "Bacterial small subunit ribosomal RNA", at positions 29 to 507 of the family's 1533-position model. The record is from RNAcentral.
AGUGAACGCUGGCGGUAGGCCUAACACAUGCAAGUCGAACGGCAGCACAGUAAGAGCUUGCUCUUACGGGUGGCGAGUGGCGGACGGGUGAGGAAUACAUCGGAAUCUACUUUUUCGUGGGGGAUAACGUAGGGAAACUUACGCUAAUACCGCAUACGACCUACGGGUGAAAGCAGGGGAUCUUCGGACCUUGCGCGAUUGAAUGAGCCGAUGUCGGAUUAGCUAGUUGGCGGGGUAAAGGCCCACCAAGGCGACGAUCCGUAGCUGGUCUGAGAGGAUGAUCAGCCACACUGAGACUGAGACACGGUACAGACUCCUACGGGAGGCAGCAGUGGGGAAUAUUGGACGAUGGGCGCAAGCCUGAUCCAGCCAUACCGCGUGGGUGAAGAAGGCCUUCGGGUUGUAAGGCCCUUUUGUUGGGAAAGAACAGCAGCAGGUUAAUACCCCGCUGUUCUGACGGUACCCAAAGAAUAAGCACCGGCUAACUUCGUG